AUCAACUUUCGAUGGUAGGAUAGAGGCCUACCAUGGUGGUAACGGGUAACGGGGUGUUAGGGCACGACACCGGAGAGGGAGCCUGAGAAACGGCUACCACAUCCAAGGAUGGCAGCAGGCGCGCAAAUUACCCAAUCCCGACACGGGGAGGUAGUGACAAUAAAUAACAAUACGGGGUUCUUUAGGAUUUCGUAAUUGGAAUGAGUACAAUUUAAAUCUCUUAACGAGGAACAAUUGGAGGGCAAGUCUGGUGCCAGCAGCCGCGGUAAUUCCAGCUCCAAUAGCGUAUAUUAAAGUUGUUGCAGUUAAAAAGCUCGUAGUUGAAUUUCGGGGUCAGUAGGUUGGUCAUGCCACUGGUAUGUACUGGCCUCACUGAUUCCUCCUUCCUGAUGAGCCGUAAUGCCAUUAAUUUGGUGUUGCGAGGAAUCUGGACUGUUACUUUGAAAAAAUUAGAGUGUUUAAAGCAGGCUAACGCUUGAAUACAUUAGCAUGGAAUAAUGAAAUAGGACGUUCGAUCUUAUUUUGUUGGUUUCUAAGAUUGACGUAAUGAUUAAUAGGGAUAGUUGGGGGCAUUAGUAUUCAAUUGUCAGAGGUGAAAUUCUUGGAUUUAUUGAAGACUAACUACUGCGAAAGCAUUUGCCAAGGAUGUUUUCAUUAAUCAAGAACGAAAGUUAGGGGAUCGAAGACGAUCAGAUACCGUCGUAGUCUUAACCAUAAACUAUGCCGACUAGGGAUCGGAUGAUGUUAAUUUUUUAAUGACUCAUUCGGCGCCUUACGGGAAACCAAAGUGUUUGGGUUC
This 799-nucleotide ribosomal RNA is filed under the name uncultured Glomus. Its description in RNAcentral is "SSU rRNA". It matches the Rfam family "Eukaryotic small subunit ribosomal RNA", at positions 314 to 1114 of the family's 1831-position model. The record is from RNAcentral. RNAcentral also lists the same sequence under 1 other name. Lineage: Eukaryota; Fungi; Glomeromycota; Glomeromycetes; Glomerales; Glomeraceae.